CGACUUAUAUUCUGUAGCAAGGUUAACCGAAUAGGGGAGCCGAAGGGAAACCGAGUCUUAACCGGGCGUUAAGUUGCAGGGUAUAGACCCGAAACCCGGUGAUCUAGCCAUGGGCAGGUUGAAGGUUGGGUAACACUAACUGGAGGACCGAACCGACUAAUGUUGAAAAAUUAGCGGAUGACUUGUGGCUGGGGGUGAAAGGCCAAUCAAACCGGGAGAUAGCUGGUUCUCCCCGAAAGCUAUUUAGGUAGCGCCUCGUGAAUUCAUCUCCGGGGGUAGAGCACUGUUUCGGCAAGGGGGUCAUCCCGACUUACCAACCCGAUGCAAACUGCGAAUACCGGAGAAUGUUAUCACGGGAGACACACGGCGGGUGCUAACGUCCGUCGUGAAGAGGGAAACAACCCAGACCGCCAGCUAAGGUCCCAAAGUCAUGGUUAAGUGGGAAACGAUGUGGGAAGGCCCAGACAGCCAGGAUGUUGGCUUAGAAGCAGCCAUCAUUUAAAGAAAGCGUAAUAGCUCACUGGUCGAGUCGGCCUGCGCGGAAGAUGUAACGGGGCUAAACCAUGCACCGAAGCUGCGGCAGCGACACUGUGUGUUGUUGGGUAGGGGAGCGUUCUGUAAGCCUGUGAAGGUGUGCUGUGAGGCAUGCUGGAGGUAUCAGAAGUGCGAAUGCUGACAUAAGUAACGAUAAAGCGGGUGAAAAGCCCGCUCGCCGGAAGACCAAGGGUUCCUGUCCAACGUUAAUCGGGGCAGGGUGAGUCGACCCCUAAGGCGAGGCCGAAAGGCGUAGUCGAUGGGAAACAGGUUAAUAUUCCUGUACUUGGUGUUACUGCGAAGGGGGGACGGAGAAGGCUAUGUUGGCCGGGCGACGGUUGUCCCGGUUUAAGCGUGUAGGCUGGUUUUCCAGGCAAAUCCGGAAAAUCAAGGCUGAGGCGUGAUGACGAGGCACUACGGUGCUGAAGCAACAAAUGCCCUGCUUCCAGGAAAAGCCUCUAAGCAUCAGGUAACAUCAAAUCGUACCCCAAACCGACACAGGUGGUCAGGUAGAGAAUACCAAGGCGCUUGAGAGAACUCGGGUGAAGGAACUAGGCAAAAUGGUGCCGUAACUUCGGGAGAAGGCACGCUGAUAUGUAGGUGAAGUCCCUCGCGGAUGGAGCUGAAAUCAGUCGAAGAUACCAGCUGGCUGCAACUGUUUAUUAAAAACACAGCACUGUGCAAACACGAAAGUGGACGUAUACGGUGUGACGCCUGCCCGGUGCCGGAAGGUUAAUUGAUGGGGUCAGCGCAAGCGAAGCUCUUGAUCGAAGCCCCGGUAAACGGCGGCCGUAACUAUAACGGUCCUAAGGUAGCGAAAUUCCUUGUCGGGUAAGUUCCGACCUGCACGAAUGGCGUAAUGAUGGCCAGGCUGUCUCCACCCGAGACUCAGUGAAAUUGAACUCGCUGUGAAGAUGCAGUGUACCCGCGGCAAGACGGAAAGACCCCGUGAACCUUUACUAUAGCUUGACACUGAACAUUGAGCCUUGAUGUGUAGGAUAGGUGGGAGGCUUUGAAGUGUGGACGCCAGUCUGCAUGGAGCCGACCUUGAAAUACCACCCUUUAAUGUUUGAUGUUCUAACGUGGACCCGUGAUCCGGGUUGCGGACAGUGUCUGGUGGGUAGUUUGACUGGGGCGGUCUCCUCCUAAAGAGUAACGGAGGAGCACGAAGGUUGGCUAAUCCUGGUCGGACAUCAGGAGGUUAGUGCAAUGGCAUAAGCCAGCUUGACUGCGAGCGUGACGGCGCGAGCAGGUGCGAAAGCAGGUCAUAGUGAUCCGGUGGUUCUGAAUGGAAGGGCCAUCGCUCAACGGAUAAAAGGUACUCCGGGGAUAACAGGCUGAUACCGCCCAAGAGUUCAUAUCGACGGCGGUGUUUGGCACCUCGAUGUCGGCUCAUCACAUCCUGGGGCUGAAGUAGGUCCCAAGGGUAUGGCUGUUCGCCAUUUAAAGUGGUACGCGAGCUGGGUUUAGAACGUCGUGAGACAGUUCGGUCCCUAUCUGCCGUGGGCGCUGGAGAACUGAGGGGGGCUGCUCCUAGUACGAGAGGACCGGAGUGGACGCAUCACUGGUGUUCGGGUUGUCAUGCCAAUGGCACUGCCCGGUAGCUAAAUGCGGAAGAGAUAAGUGCUGAAAGCAUCUAAGCACGAAACUUGCCCCGAGAUGAGUUCUCCCUGACCCUUUAAGGGUCCUGAAGGAACGUUGAAGACGACGACGUUGAUAGGCCGGGUGUGUAAGCGCAGCGAUGCGUUGAGCUAACCGGUACUAAUGAACCGUGAGGCUUAACCU
This 2319-nucleotide ribosomal RNA is filed under the name Escherichia coli 7.1982. RNAcentral describes it as "bacterial LSU rRNA". It matches the Rfam family "Bacterial large subunit ribosomal RNA", at positions 624 to 2925 of the family's 2925-position model. Lineage: Bacteria; Pseudomonadati; Pseudomonadota; Gammaproteobacteria; Enterobacterales; Enterobacteriaceae. The record is from RNAcentral.